RNAcentral lists this ribosomal RNA (111 nucleotides) under Caerostris darwini. Lineage: Eukaryota; Metazoa; Arthropoda; Arachnida; Araneae; Araneidae. The record is from RNAcentral.
AACGACUAUACCAUGCUGAAUAUACCGGUUCUCGUUAGAUCACCGAAGUCAAGCAUCAUUGGGCGCGGUCAGUACUUGGGUGGGUGACCACCUGGGAACACCGCGUGCAGU